AAAUAAGAUUUGUCAUGAGAAGUCAGCAGAUGUCAUAGUACCAAGGCAGUCAUGAAUGUUUUGGGAAGGAC
This is a non-coding RNA of Clostridium sp. BL8, 71 nucleotides long. Lineage: Bacteria; Bacillati; Bacillota; Clostridia; Eubacteriales; Clostridiaceae. The record is from Rfam.